This 77-nucleotide ribosomal RNA is filed under the name Frullania sp. B BlS-2016. RNAcentral's name for it is "partial 26S ribosomal RNA". It matches the Rfam family "Eukaryotic large subunit ribosomal RNA", at positions 1 to 76 of the family's 3401-position model. The record is from RNAcentral. Lineage: Eukaryota; Viridiplantae; Streptophyta; Jungermanniopsida; Porellales; Frullaniaceae.
UGGACCUCAGAUCAGGCAAGAUCACCCGCUGAGUUUAAGCAUAUCACUAAGCGGAGGAAAAGAAACUAACGAGGAUU